AUGCAUUCAAAGAGUGCGUAACAGCUCACUGGUCGAGUGGACAUGCGCCGACAAUUCACGGGGCUAAGCGAUGCGCCGAAGCGGCGGAAUGUAUAUACAUUGGUAGGGGAGCUUCCCCUGCGCGGCGAAGCCGGAGGGCGACCGACGGUGGAGCGCAGGGGAGUGAGGAUGCUGGCAUGAGUAACGAGAGCGGCGCGGGAAACGCCGCCGCCGUAAGCCCAAGGUUUCCUGGGCAAGGCUAAUCCUCCCAGGGUCAGUCGGGAGCUAAGGCGAGGCCGGAAGGCGUAGCCGAUGCGCAACAGGCGGACAUUCCUGUACCGCCUCGGGACCGCUACGACCGAAGGGGCGACGGAGAAGGGUACGCAGGCGGGGUUCUGGACGCCCCCGUGAAAGCAUGUAGGCCGCAGGGCAGGCAAAUCCGCCCUGCGCACAAGGCCGAGACGCGAGACGAAGCCGCAAGGCGAAGCUGCGGAGCCCACGCUCCCUGGAAAAACCCCUAGGCAGGGCCCGAGGCGCCCGUACCAAAACCGACACAGGUGGGCGGGUAGAGCAUACCGAGGCGAUCGGGGGAACCAUGGUCAAGGAACUCGGCAUAAUCGCUCCGUAACUUCGGGAGAAGGAGUGCCGCUGCAGGUGGAGGGACGAGCUCCCCGAGCCCGCGGCGGCCGCAGCGAAACGGCCCAAGCGACUGUUUACCAAAAACACAGGACUCUGCCAACCCGCGAGGGGAAGUAUAGGGUCUGACGCCUGCCCGGUGCCGGAAGGUUACGCGGAUGCGUUAGCGUAAAGCGAAGCGCUGAAGCCAAGCCCCGGUAAACGGCGGCCGUAACUAUAACGGUCCUAAGGUAGCGAAAUUCCUUGUCGGGUAAGUUCCGACCUGCACGAACGGCGUAACGACUUGGGCGCUGUCUCGACCAUGGACCCGGUGAAAUUGCACUAUUCGUGAAGAUGCGAAUUACCUGCGGAAGGACGGAAAGACCCCGUGAACCUUCACUGCAGCUUGGCAUUGGCCGUUGGCUCGGCGCGUAGAGGAUAGGCAGGAGGCUUGGAAACCGGGGCGCCAGCCCCGGCGGAGCCGCCCUUGGAAUACUGCCCCCUCCGUUCCGGCGGCCUAACGCGGCGCCUUAUAUCAGGGCCGCGGACCGUGCCAGGCGGGUAGUUUGACUGGGGCGGUCGCCUCCCAAAGAGUAACGGAGGCGCGCAAAGGUUGGCUCAGGACGGUCGGCAACCGUCCCGAGAGCGCAAGAGUGCAAGCCAGCUUGACUGCGAGGCGGACGGGCCGAGCAGGUGCGAAAGCAGGCUCUAGUGAUCCGGCGGCCCAGAGUGGAAUGGCCGUCGCUCAACGGAUAAAAGGUACUCCGGGGAUAACAGGCUGAUCUUGCCCAAGAGUCCACAUCGACGGCAAGGUUUGGCACCUCGAUGUCGGCUCAUCGCAUCCUGGGGCUGUAGCAGGUCCCAAGGGUUGGGCUGUUCGCCCAUUAAAGCGGUACGCGAGCUGGGUUCAGAACGUCGUGAGACAGUUCGGUCCCUAUCCUCCGUGGGCGCAAGAGAAUUGAGAGGAUCUGUCCCUAGUACGAGAGGACCGGGAUGGACGCACCUCUGGUGCCGCAGUUGUCGACCAACGGCACAGCUGCCUAGCUACGUGCGGAACGGAUAACCGCUGAAAGCAUCUAAGCGGGAAGCCGGCCUCGAGAUGAGUUCUCUCUUCGGUAAGGCCACUUGUAGACCACAAGUUCGAUAGGCCGCAGCUGCAAGCCCCGCGAGGGGCUCAGGCGAGCGGUACUAAUCGGCCGAGCUCUUCAUCU
Molecule: ribosomal RNA, 1805 nt
Filed under: human gut metagenome
Description: bacterial LSU rRNA
Rfam family: Bacterial large subunit ribosomal RNA
Source: RNAcentral